AUCUUUAUAAAGGGCCGCCAAAAGUUUCCUAACGUGUAAACGCGAAAGUUUCCUGAGGUGUAGCUGCAACCAGAAGGCCCAGUUCUGGUGGUGAUUUCACUUUUGACAGAAGCUGUCCCUCAAAAGCAAACGUGUGAUAGAAGAAACAGAUCUCAGUAAGUAGCUUAUUUUUCUGACAAACACUACUGAAAUUUCUUAUUAAUGCUCCUAAUUUUCUCAUUAUGUACUGCAGGGUGAAUAUGGCUCCAGAGGUUGCACCAAAUAACUUCCUUGGGCUCUAAUGAUUAUUGGUAUCUUUUACUGAUGUGUAUCUGUUCUUGACACUAAAGUACACAAAAGCAUACAAAGCCAUCUCCCUCUU
This is a long non-coding RNA of Sapajus apella (tufted capuchin), 361 nucleotides long. RefSeq lists it as uncharacterized. The transcript has 2 exons. NCBI's taxonomy places the organism in Eukaryota, Metazoa, Chordata, Mammalia, Primates, Cebidae. The record is from RefSeq and is a predicted model, not a curated record.